ACGGGAAAGCUCCUUGGAACCUUGGUGGACAGGAUUUUAUUAGGAUUUAGUCAUAGAAGCAUUGAGCUCCAUAUGACUGACCUUAGCCCUAUUCAGUCUUCAGUACCACCACCCCCUACCCCCAGAUCUAACAGGUACAGUGUGGCCUAGGGCCCAAGGUAACGAAAAUAAGUUAAAUCACAAUGUCAGCAUAUUCUCUUUGGUGCGGACCAAGGCCUCAGGUUUACAAAGACACUGUCAGUAAGGAUAUUCCAGUGCUUUAGAGCUAAUCUCCCAGAAGCCUGUCAAGGGUCAUCCUGAAGACCUUUGGAUUGUGCAACGUUUGGAUAACCUCGGCCUGCUGAGUCAUCUCUUUUAGUGCGUGGUCAUGGUGCCAAAUACAGAGGCUUUUCACCUAAUUCUGAAUGCUGAAUUAUUUCUUUGGGGAAAGUGUCAAGGCAGUAUGGUUCCAUUGUCCUCAAAAUAUUGAACGGAAGCAGACAGCAUCACCUUACCUUGAACGGGCCUCUUCUGUGGUGUCUGAAUGCUAAAAGCAGGAUUGUCAGGCUGCUCCAGCAUAAGAGCCAGCUGCUGCCCAAGCACGUGGACAAACAUGGGAACACGCUUCAAAUCUUUCACAGGUAUAAUUUUUCACUAUCUGCUAAACACGCUAGUUCACUAUCUGCUAAAAUCUAGCCGUUGAUUAUCUCCUUCCUGUCUGACCCUUUGUUUGAUUCUUUUGCUAUGGUUCCAGAAUUAAAUUUCAGUUGAUACUGUUGUGGUAAAUUUCAUGUCGAACUUUCACUCUCUGUAAUGUUUUCUAUUUUUCACCUUGCCAGACCUAAAUGAAAUUUUUCAUCCUUUUUCUAUUAAAACAGCUGUGACCCUUUCUCUGAAUAUAAAUUUGUUAACUUUGGAGUUGCCAAAUCUUGAAGACAUCUGUAUGUGUCUUUCCAUUUACACUAUUAAUUUGUUUAUAAACAUGUAGUGUGUGUACAGUAGUUCUUUACCAGAGUAUCGGAACUACUAUGCCAGGAUUGGAUUCCUAGUUCUGCCACUUCACUAUCUCUGUGACUUUUGGCAAAUUAGUUUUCUUAUCUGCAUCUCAGUUUUAUAAUCUAUAUUGGGGUUGAUUAUGAUAAUGAUGGAUAGUUACCGAGUUUUGUUACUUGUCAUUUAAAUCCUAUAAUAGGAAAAUAGUACCUACCGCUUUAGGUUGUGGUUAGUAUUAAGUGAGUUAAAUUUAUUGUGAAUAGAAUAAUAUCUGAACAGAAGUGCACAGUAAAUAUUAGGAAU
This 1275-nucleotide long non-coding RNA is filed under the name Ursus thibetanus thibetanus. RNAcentral's name for it is "lncRNA (ENSUTTG00000010184.1)". The record is from RNAcentral. Lineage: Eukaryota; Metazoa; Chordata; Mammalia; Carnivora; Ursidae.